GUCUUUCCAUUGUAUUUCAUCCUUGCAAGAGACCUCACCAAAUUCUGCACUUCAGCCUUAUCAGAAAUUUUAAACUUUUCUGCAAUGGAAUUGAAGAACUCCUUGGCCAAUUCUGAAUCAGGUUAAUCGAUUUAAUAACCUAAAACACACAGAUGAUUGGUGUUAGUUUCCUGACCGUUGGACAAUGCUUUCAUGUUUUCAGUAUCUAUCGCGCAGGCAUAGCUUUAGAUAUUACAGGUUUCAUUGGCCAAACCAGCUGCUAGGAUUCUUGAAGUUACUGGAAAAACUGCACAGAGCAUUAGAACCCGAUAGGAUCCAUUGAACUUCCUCUUAAUUUAUGAUAUUUGUAGUCACAACAAUGCUUGUUUUGUCAAUUACCAAUGAUCCACAAAGGAUUCAGUACUUUGUCUUGCAUUUUUUGUAAGGAAUAUAUCUAUUAGACAAUAUGAUACUCUUAAUGAAAUGUAUAUUUUUCUUUUA
Rosa chinensis is the source of this 480-nucleotide long non-coding RNA. RefSeq lists it as uncharacterized. The record is from RefSeq and is a predicted model, not a curated record. The transcript is spliced from 2 exons. NCBI's taxonomy places the organism in Eukaryota, Viridiplantae, Streptophyta, Magnoliopsida, Rosales, Rosaceae.